This 592-nucleotide ribosomal RNA is filed under the name Bacillus licheniformis. RNAcentral describes it as "bacterial SSU rRNA". It matches the Rfam family "Bacterial small subunit ribosomal RNA", at positions 505 to 1105 of the family's 1533-position model. Lineage: Bacteria; Bacillati; Bacillota; Bacilli; Caryophanales; Bacillaceae. The record is from RNAcentral.
GUGCCAGCAGCCGCGGUAAUAGUAGGUGGCAAGCGUUUCCGGAAUAUUGGGGUAAAGCGCGCGCAGGCGGUUUCUUAAGUCUGAUGUGAAAGCCCCCGGCUCAACCGGGGAGGGUCAUUGGAAACUGGGGAACUUGAGUGCAGAAGAGGAGAGUGGAAUUCCACGUGUAGCGGUGAAAUGCGUAGAGAUGUGGAGGAACACCAGUGGCGAAGGCGACUCUCUGGUCUGUAACUGACGCUGAGGCGCGAAAGCGUGGGGAGCGAACAGGAUUAGAUACCCUGGUAGUCCACGCCGUAAACGAUGAGUGCUAAGUGUUAGAGGGUUUCCGCCCUUUAGUGCUGCAGCAAACGCAUUAAGCACUCCGCCUGGGGAGUACGGUCGCAAGACUGAAACUCAAAGGAAUUGACGGGGGCCCGCACAAGCGGUGGAGCAUGUGGUUUAAUUCGAAGCAACGCGAAGAACCUUACCAGGUCUUGACAUCCUCUGACAACCCUAGAGAUAGGGCUUCCCCUUCGGGGGCAGAGUGACAGGUGGUGCAUGUUGCGUCAGCUCGUGUCUGAGUGUGGGUAAUCCGCACAACGAGCGCAACCCU